Molecule: ribosomal RNA, 492 nt
Filed under: uncultured bacterium
Lineage: Bacteria
Description: partial 16S ribosomal RNA
Rfam family: Bacterial small subunit ribosomal RNA
Source: RNAcentral
AGUGAACGCUGGCGGUAGGCCUAACACAUGCAAGUCGAACGGCAGCACAGUAAGAGCUUGCUCUUACGGGUGGCGAGUGGCGGAUGGGUGCUGAAUACCUCGGAGUCUACUUUUUCGUAGGUGCUAACGUAGGGGCACUUACGCUAAUACCGCAUACGAACUACGGGUGAAAGCAUCGGACCUUCGGACCUCGCGCGAUUGUAUGAGGCGAUGUCGGAUUAGCUAGUUGGCGGGGUAAAGGCCCACCAAGGCGACGAUCCGUAGCUGGUCUGAGAGGAUGAUCAGCCACACUGGAACUGAGACACGGUCCAGACUCCUACGGGAGGCAGCAGUGGGGAAUAUUGGACAAUGGGCGAAAGCCUGAUCCAGCCAUACCGCGUGGGUGAAGAAGGCCUUCGGGUUGUAAAGCCCUUUUGUUGGGAAAGAAAAGCAGCAGGUUAAUACCCCGCUGUUCUGACGGUACCCAAAGAAUAAGCACCGGCUAACUUCGUG